AAUCAUCAGCCGUUGGAUGGUUCCCGGUAUGCCGCUGCAUGCCGGGAGUAAAUGGGAAUGCGACGGGCCGGACCCAUGCCGGGCGUCCUUAUCGCAGCCGACCCCGCGACUGUAGAACGGUCAGGGUUCGCCAUCCGGGAAAGCCGAUACGUCCGGACUGUCCGCAUUCGCGGCGGCGGACAGGACCGGCCCAACCGGAAAAGCCACUGGAGCGGCAUUGUGAUCAGCCGGGGCUGGACGCCUCUAUGUCUACGAAUCGUCCACCUCUUCACGAUGCCCGCCGAUUGCGGUCACGCAAUGCGGCGCAAAAGCUCCGGGAAGGCGAGGCGGACCCGUUCGUCCCCUGAUAAGGACGUGGCGCCGUGAGCCAGGAGACCUGCCACCCUCAAGGACGCCAU
This 398-nucleotide non-coding RNA is filed under the name Rhizobium sp. Lineage: Bacteria; Pseudomonadati; Pseudomonadota; Alphaproteobacteria; Hyphomicrobiales; Rhizobiaceae. The record is from RNAcentral.